AAACGCUUGAAGUCAGUCGCAUUGGCUGGGAUCAACCUUGCAUUGUGAGGUGUACUCCCUGGUCAAUGGGUCAGCAUCAGUUUUGACCGCUGGAAAAAGGUUAGGGGAAUGUGGCAUCUCCGGAUGUGUUAUAGCCCCUGAUUGUAUACAGUGGUUGGGACUGAGGAACUCAGCACGCCGCAAGGCCGGGUUUAACCACGUUCGUGCUUAGGAUGCUGGCGUAAUGGCUUUAAUCGA
RNAcentral lists this ribosomal RNA (237 nucleotides) under Pluteus heteromarginatus. RNAcentral's name for it is "partial large subunit ribosomal RNA". Lineage: Eukaryota; Fungi; Basidiomycota; Agaricomycetes; Agaricales; Pluteaceae. The record is from RNAcentral.